CGUAGGGGCAAGCGUUGUCCGGAUUUAUUGGGGCGUAAAGGGCGCGUAGGCGGCCUCUUAAGUCAGUUGUGAAAGGUCCCGGCUCAACCGGGGAGUUGCAGCUGAAAACUGGGAGGCUUGAGUGCAGGAGAGGAGAGCGGAAUUCUCGGUGUAGCGGUGGAAUGCGUAGAGAUCGGGAGGAACACCAGUGGCGAAGGCGGCUCUCUGGCCUGUUACUGACGCUGAGGCGCGAAAGCGUGGGGAGCGAACAGGAUU
RNAcentral lists this ribosomal RNA (255 nucleotides) under uncultured bacterium. RNAcentral's name for it is "partial 16S ribosomal RNA". It matches the Rfam family "Bacterial small subunit ribosomal RNA", at positions 526 to 779 of the family's 1533-position model. The record is from RNAcentral.